This is a long non-coding RNA of Herpailurus yagouaroundi (jaguarundi), 1472 nucleotides long. RefSeq lists it as uncharacterized. The record is from RefSeq and is a predicted model, not a curated record. The transcript has 3 exons. Lineage: Eukaryota; Metazoa; Chordata; Mammalia; Carnivora; Felidae.
CUCCCGGCUGCCCCGCCCCGCCCGGCUGGAGAGACUUCGCCCCUGGCGGGAGGGGGCGGAGGCUAAGGGCCCAGCCGCAGGAAGCGGGCGGACGCGUGCUCGAGCCCGUACCACUUCGGCGGGCCCCGUCCUGGGAGCAGAGUGACUUUCGCUCGCUUUGAGCAAGCUGUUCCAGAUGAGAGGGGCCCCAUCAAGCUCCUUCCCUGCGAACUACGCUCAGCACCUCAGCAUCAAGCCGCUGUAGCUUUGGACUGUGUCUAUCGAACACCAUCACUCAAGUCAAACAGCAGAUGCACUUGACAGGUUGUGGAUGUGACUGAUCAUAAAUGAUACUGCUGUGCCUGUGCGUCAAUAGCAGCUCUCAACAUGGAGCCCCUGUAGACAGGUACAAACACAUGGACUGGCACAACCUCACUUCAUUCUGUUACAAAAUCACGUGCUUCUCUGAUGCUUGAGAGGGAUAUGCCACAUAUAGAAAAGGAAAUUACAACCAUUCAGUGACACUGCCCGUGUGACUUAACCAAGCUAAUGUAGCAAUGUUGAUCCAAAUCAAGUUUAAUGACAAAUCCUGUUAGGAGUGACCUGUGCCUACUUGGGUUAUAUGCUUGUAUGUGGCUAGAAAUGGGCCAAGGAAUCUCUCUUCGUUAGGGAUAGAGGUUGUUUUUUGGCUCAUCUAUUGCCUCCUGUAAUUAUUAGCAAUGACACCAAAGAUCAGCAGGUUAGUGAAAUGAAUAAUGGAUGGGCCUUAGGCUAGACUACAUCCUGACUGUCUGAAAUAGAGUCCUCUGGUCUUCCCUGGGACAGUCACCUGGGUCCAGGACUCUGGAACGCAUAUUUGAGGUCAAUACUUGAGGUUAAUUUCAUCUUGUUGUUUGGAGUCCCGAUGAUAGUAGCCUUGUGUGAGAAAUUUAGUUCUAGCCUCUGUUGGUUAAAGUAAUCAGAAUGGCCAAUAGAGUGACAUACUUUUGUGACAGUUUGCUAGAAGCCAAGACAGGUAGGGGCAACAGGUGGAUUGAUGGGGAAAACAAUCUUCCACAGGUCCUGAACAUCCCUGCACAUUUUUGCUAGGUAUGCCAAGAAUUCAAAUUCCUUCCUGACUAUUCUUUCCUAAUGCCAUUUCUCUGGGUUGUGUUUAUAGUGAACACCGUGAGGGUUGAAGUUAUAUCAAGUCAUAUGUUUGCUUCUAAAUUAUUGGGUGUGUGUGUGAAUAAUUGAGUGAGAGUGUAGGUGAACCAUAUCAUCUAAAAAUUUGUAAUUGUUGAGGCUGGGUCAUAGGUACAUGUGGGUUCAAAGUACAGGCUUUCUUACCACUUACUAUAAAAACAGUAGAUUCCCAAGUGUGUUCCUUGUUAGCAAUACAAACUCAUUGUAUGUAUUAUAUCCUUCUGGGCCCCUCUAUGUUACCCCCAUGGGAUCUGGGAUAAGGCUCAUGCUGCUUGUUGUGUCAUGAGUAAUAAAGUCCUCUUCUGUGA